Molecule: long non-coding RNA, 2521 nt
Organism: Triticum aestivum (bread wheat)
Lineage: Eukaryota; Viridiplantae; Streptophyta; Magnoliopsida; Poales; Poaceae
Exons: 4
Source: RefSeq, a predicted model, not a curated record
CCCUCCCUCCCUCCCUCCUCGAUCUCUCUCCCUCAGCCACCACGAACCCUAGCUCCCUUUCGUACGAUCCCGCGGUCGCUGCCCCUGCUCCAUCCGACCCCCCUCGUCAGCCGCCGCCGCCGCUAUGGCUCCUCCGUCCACCGACUCUGUCCGUGCAAGUGGCCAGUUUACUUCCGCCCCAACCUUCUCCACUGUCUCCCCAGUUCAUCCUUCGUCCACCCUUGCUGCUCGAGGUGCUCAUUUGCCAAGGCCUCGAGGAAGCCACGUGAGGAGGAGAGACCUCUCGAGAAGCUGCGGGAGGAGGGGCUCAACCAGAGAGGAGCAGAUGCCAGGUAGUCGGCUCGGCUGGACGCCGCCCUUCGUGUCCGGGCCGCGGCAGACCCUAGCGCCGUCCUUCAGGCGUCUUCACGGCUGCAGGUGCGCAUAUCUGCACUACAAGCUAAAGGCGCGCAAUCUGUAUAUUUUGUUCCAAUAAAGAAAUCUGGACCAUAUAGAAUGAUCAAUGAUAGGAUCCUGCUGCGUUCUAAUAAUGGAUUGUUCAAAGGAUCUGUUUAAAGACGACAGGCAUAUAUUUGUACAGAGAUCAUAUUAUGCCCAUAUGAAGUUGGUGGUUCGUGGAGACCCAAGGUGCACUGACAGAAGAUAUCCGAGGAGCAGAGGAAAAUGCAAGUUUGUAUGUGUGAAAAAUUAUUGGUUUAACUCAAGGAUGCUGAGGAAAUCCUCGAAGGCAUAAAGACCACACAGACACUUCCGUUUUUAUGGUUUUUCUUCCCAGGUGAUGGCAAGCUUCUUUGUUGCUAAUUGUGAUUUCUUUUGUACAUGGCCUCUCACCAGAGUAAGGAAAUAGACCUGCGAUGUUUCUUUCUGAUUUUCUUGGAGUUUUCAGUGGUAUUUUGAGCUUCUAGAUUGAUUGUUUCAUGAAGCAUUAUAGAUCAGACUGUCAGAUUGAUGUGUAGUUUACAGUUAUGUAUCAAGUGGAUGUGGGGCAAUCUUAUUUACCCAAGUAGCUCUUAUUUGACAAAUCACCAUCCAGUUUGCUGUAUGGCUGAUUCUGAUGCACUCAAAGUGAACAAUGAAGAAUAAUGAUUCUUCUUAUAUAAUUACAUGAUUAAUUAAACCUCAGUUCCUCAUGUUUACUUCAUGGGACUGAAAAGAUUUGUACGAAUUUAUCAAUCAUGUGUCGGCCUUCAUUUGCAUCUCAUCCUCAAAGAAAUGGGAUAUGAUUUAAUUCCAUUGGCAAAUUAUUCUGGUUAGACUUCAAGCUUGGGCCAGUAAUUUUUAUUGUGUAGAUAACAACAUGUGGACCUCCUUCAGAUUAAUGAGAAGAAAAACUCUGGGUUAAGUGGAUUUGUGAUUUAUGAUGUUCAGGUCAAGGACGUCGUGUUCUCCUGCUUGCUCUGGUUCGGACCUUUUAUGCUCUGUUUGGCCUGUAACAUGUAUUGCCUUAUUGGUUCUACAGACUAUUUUAUUUUCUUGGAGAAUAUUAUAUUCAUUGGUUGAUGGGUUGAUCUAUUUGUGUUUUGUACCACGGUUGACGGAACAUCUGAUAUUUAAAAACCAUGAAUCAGGGAUCACAGGGUUAUUAGUGCAUAUGUAACUCGGGAACAACGACAAGUUAUUUAGGUGUUGGUCAUGAAAAUACACUGGUUGAGGUGAUAAAUCUUGUUUCAUCAAUGCCCACUAUUAUUAUGAUCUCCUGCUUUGCAAAAAUAAGUUCUCCCGUAAUCUUUUUACCGAAUCCAUAAAAAACAAGUUGUGUGAUAGAGCUGUUACUGUGUGGGCCAAAAUGAAGUUUCUAUAUGCCCUACAAUACUCGCAUAAUUUCUGAUUCUAAUUGGCUUCCUGCACCAACAUCUGAUGCCUUUCUAUUGUAAAUCUUUACGAAGUUGCCAUUUGUUUUUGUGGAGAUACAAACGAGAUGUAUGACCAUGGGUGAAGGAAUGCUAUUCCAAGUUUGGUACUUCAGUUAAUUACUUAUUAUUUAUUAUUAAGUCUGUAUUAGCCUAACAGACAACAUGUGUGGGACUGAUUUUGAUGAGGCAAGUUUUUCCUAUCGUUCUUGGCUUCUUCGUCCCGUUUCUUCACGUUCUCCUACCAUAGCUUCCAUUUUUCUGUCUCAACUACUUCUAUUUGAUUGGUUCCAGGACCCGAAAUCAAUGGUUAUUGAACAAAUUAAUUACAACUCCAUUGAGGUUGAAGGUGAUCACACCUUGAUUGCUGGCGAUGAUCUGAUUCAGUCAAGAUGUGAGGAUGACAGCUUUGUGGGCGAGAGCAUGUAUGAUGAUGGCAGCUUGGUACAACGGAGCUGUUGAGCCAACUUUCCUGUAUUUCGCACAUGAGCUGAAAGAGGUCAAGUGCUAAUCGCACUGUAUGCAAAAAAAAAAAAUGCAGCUGUCAAUAUUUUUGCUAUGGUCUAUGGUUGUAAUGUUGGUGUUGUAAGAUGUUCAGCGUCUUUGAAACUUUCCGAAUUCUGGGAUUUGCUUUUUAUUAGUAACGUUGAAAUUGAACAUCUUUUUGAAGA